AACCAGCACCUCAAGUGGUCAGGAUGAUUAUUGGGCCUAAAGCAUCCGUAGCCCGUUUUGUAAGUUUUCGGUUAAAUCCAUGCGCUUAACGUAUGGGCUGCCGGGAAUACUGCAUAACUAGGAAGUGGGAGAGGUAGACGGUACUCGGUAGGAAGGGGUAAAAUCCUUUGAUCUAUUGAUGACCACCUGUGGCGAAGGCGGUCUACCAGAACACGUUCGACGGUGAGGGAUGAAAGCUGGGGGAGCAAACCGGAUUAGAACCGUACCGUC
RNAcentral lists this ribosomal RNA (270 nucleotides) under uncultured bacterium. RNAcentral's name for it is "partial 16S ribosomal RNA". It matches the Rfam family "Archaeal small subunit ribosomal RNA", at positions 474 to 746 of the family's 1478-position model. The record is from RNAcentral.